GGAGGAAAAGAAACCAACAGGGAUUGCCCCAGUAACGGCGAGUGAAGCGGCAACAGCUCAAAUUUGAAAUCUGGCCCCCCGGGGCCCGAGUUGUAAUUUGCAGAGGAUGCUUUUGGCGAGGCGCCUUCCGAGUUCCCUGGAACGGGACGCCACAGAGGGUGAGAGCCCCGUCUGGUUGGAUGCCGAGCCUCUGUAAAGCUCCUUCGACGAGUCGAGUAGUUUGGGAAUGCUGCUCUAAAUGGGAGGUAUAUGUCUUCUAAAGCUAAAUAUUGGCCAGAGACCGAUAGCGCACAAGUAGAGUGAUCGAAAGAUGAAAAGCACUUUGAAAAGAGGGUUAAAUAGUACGUGAAAUUGUUGAAAGGGAAGCGCUCAUGACCAGACUUGGGCCCGGUGAAUCAUCCAGCGUUCUCGCUGGUGCACUUUGCCGGGCUCAGGCCAGCAUCAGUUCGCCCCGGGGGAGAAAGGCUCUGGGAAUGUGGCUCCCCCGGGAGUGUUAUAGCCCUCUGCGCAAUGCCCUGGGGCGGACUGAGGUCCGCGCAUCUGCAAG
Molecule: ribosomal RNA, 547 nt
Filed under: Epichloe festucae var. lolii
Lineage: Eukaryota; Fungi; Ascomycota; Sordariomycetes; Hypocreales; Clavicipitaceae
Description: partial large subunit ribosomal RNA
Rfam family: Eukaryotic large subunit ribosomal RNA
Source: RNAcentral